Molecule: long non-coding RNA, 805 nt
Filed under: Sus scrofa (pig)
Lineage: Eukaryota; Metazoa; Chordata; Mammalia; Artiodactyla; Suidae
Description: lncRNA (ENSSSCG00065031603.1)
Source: RNAcentral
UUUUGUUAUCAUUUCCCUCUCAGCAGAGCCUUCUGCCAGGGAAAGCCCUAUAGUAGGAGCUCCUAAGAGUGACUGAGGCUUGAGAACAGCCAGAAGGCAAGCAACAUGAAGCCAUUUAAAGCAAACCAGAGGAAGUCCAGUGCUUGACUAUUUAUUUUAUGAAGUUAGGGGCUGGAUAUGUUAAGCAAAUGUUUUUUUAAUUGUGGCAGUAUGAGAAAACAAUGGGGCAAGGGCUGCGGGGGACCGACCGGCAGUGUCAGGCCUCCACCCCUCCUACUCCCACCCCAAAAUCUCUAGAGAAUGACAGGAAAAAUUAAAGACGGGGCUUUUCUUUUCGUGGUCACAUGUCUACGCUGCUGCUGUAAUAAGAACCUGCACCAAUUAGAAAUGUUUCACCUUCUCCUCUCCGCCCCUCCCCGGGCACACUUCGGAGCAGACCGGGUUGUGGACUCCAGGAGUUUGCCAAACACAGCAAACACUGGUACGUGUGGCCGCCGGCCUGGCCGGGCAGGGUGUGUGCGGGUAACAAGCGGUCGAGGCAGUGCCCCAGGUCGGUGGCCUAUGGAGCGUGGAGCCCAGGGAGGCGGAAGACGCCUGUGUUUGCGGCGCUCCGGCGGCUGAGCGAGUGUGAGCAUCGACCCCAGGGCGCCCUUCCAGGGGCCGCUUUGUGAACAGGUGUGUGUAAGAGGCGGGGACGCGUGCGGGUCUGUAGCCGAGCGCCGCGAAGGUGCUGCAGGUCCGGCUCCAACGCGCCGGCACUUGGCCGGCUUCGUGGCCCUUAAGGGGCCGCGAGCCCAGCGGGUCC